This 360-nucleotide transfer-messenger RNA is filed under the name Candidatus Azambacteria bacterium RIFCSPLOWO2_02_FULL_42_10. It matches the Rfam family "transfer-messenger RNA". Rfam says of the family: Bacterial tmRNA, also known as 10Sa RNA or SsrA, is named for its dual tRNA and mRNA-like properties. The record is from RNAcentral. RNAcentral also lists the same sequence under 7 other names. Lineage: Bacteria; Candidatus Azamiibacteriota.
GGGGGUGAAGGGCUUCGAUAGAAUUUUAAAAUUAAAUACGCAGGCCGAGGAUGUCUCGUAACCUCGAAAUUAAAUCCUCGAGGCAAGGCAAAUAAUAACUGCCAAAACAAACUUAAAUCCUGCUUUCGCUUUUGCCUAAGCAGCAUCGGCCGCUUAAUGUCCAAUAGAGCGAUACCGGUGUCAACCAUUGGGCUUUAACCCGUAGAAUUCUUCGCUCCGGGUGGAAAUUACAGAAGAAACGGAAAUUUCUUUUUUCGAUUGCUCCAAGAGAACUUUCUGAAAAAAUUAAGCAAUCUACGCCUGUAGAAAUAUCUAAUUGAAAAAUCCUAGAUGCGGGUUCAACUCCCGCCACUUCCAUAA